AGUGUGCCUUUCGUUUCCUGAGAGUGAAGAAUGCUGGCUGGGAUCACUUCCCUCGUCUCAGGCCUGCCGACCUGUCGGCACCAAAGGUUGGUCCCUGCCCCUUCCACCAGGCUCGCAGCAGUGUGACUCAGUUUCCUCCCUUGGCAGGUGGGUGGGAAGCCACAGAGAGGAUGCUUAGGGUGGGGAGCCUCCUGGCUCCUGACCCUGCCUGCACCCCACGGACACCGAGGGGGAUGAUGUCAGCUGGAGGCCCAGCACUACCUGCACCCCUCGGGUAACCACUCCCCUGUUUUCAUCUGUACGUUUACCAGCACUCAGCCCCUGAACACAUGCCUGGCAAGGGGUGUCACACACUAGAGUUACACGCUAAGUCUCCCUCUGUGUCCAACUUCAGUCACUCACCAUUACUGGAGAGCCGGCCCCGCUGACGUGCUAUCCUCGGUCACUCAUUCACUUCCAUGGCCGGGGUGCCUCCCGUGCAGUGACCCCAUCAUGACUGCUACCUCCUUCCACAGCUGGGCACUCGGUCUGGUUCCAGGUUUGGCUGUCACCGAUGGCACCGCGUACAUGUGCUGGUACAUGUGCACACACACGUCAGAAUUUAGAUUUCUUAGUCACCUGUGUGCACGUGUUCGACUUGGCCACGCUAUCACACAGUCUCCCACAUUCCUGCUGGAGCGUGUGCUCCUGUCCUUGCCAGCAUCACCGGGUGGGCUCUGUAUCAAUGCUCAGGACCACAUGGGACCCUGGCCAAGGGCAGGAGGGCUUUGCCCUGGGAGCAGCUGAACAUAGAGGGUCAGGACAGCAAGGGCGCCGCGUGGGAGGGGGGCGGGAGCGGGGUGGGGACUUCCAUGUACGUUAAAGGGGAAGGACAUGGGUGGGGAUGUUACGGAUGUCGACGCAGCCUCCCUCACUAACGCAGUGACCUCAGCCGAGUUUCUCUGUUCUUGCCCUCUCGUGCUGCGUGCUGCACAUGCACCUGUUGCCUCGACACCCACAACCCUGCAGAGCCCGCGAAUAGCUUGCAGGGGCUGCUGUCACACAAGCCCGAGCCUAGAGGCUUAGAGACGCUCAGAUGUGCUCUCUCGCAGUUCUGAGGGUCAGAAGUCUGGCCUGGGCCCCCUGGGGAUGAAGGCAUUAGGGAGGCUCUGAGCGAGAAUCCCCUUCCUUGCGUUUCCAGCUCCUGGAGACACCGCAUUGCCUGACUGUGGCUCCCUCCUUGCCCUCACAACCUGCGUGGCAGGUGGAGCUCCCCCCUCCCCUCCGACCUGCACCACUCUGACUCCCGCUUCUGCUUUUGGGAUCCUAGUGAUGGUGGCGGACCCACCUGGUGGACCCACACUACUCUCUCCAUCUUGGGGUCAGCUGAUUAGCAAGCAACUAAUCAUCUUCAGCAGCAAUUCUCUUUUGCCAUGUGACCCACCGUAUCCACAGGCACAGGGGACUAGGGCGUGGGUGUCUCGGGGCGGGGGGCACUACCAACCCCUCCACGGUCUACUUAUUGUUCUUGUUAUGCAGAUGGAGAAACUGAGGCUCUUCCUGAUGAAGCGGCUUGCCUAGAACCACACAGCAGGAUAGGGCUCUGGCGAGAUCCCUGGACCCUCCAUGUGGAGGCUGAGGGACAGGGGUCCCCCGACACCUGCAGGCCCCGCAGGCCUGAGCAGGGCUGCGCACUUCCACAUUUUCACUCCCCAUGACCCCAGGGCUCAUCCCAUUCCGGCGGCCUGAGCAGGUGCGGAAACCACACGACCCCCACCGCAUUCCCAGACCCCGCUUCACAGAUGGGCUCCCACCAGACACCCGCCACUCCCUUUGCAAGCCAGUUUCUGUUCAUUUAAUCAGACGCCUUGCAUGUUGAGUGGAGACCAGCUGGAAACAUAGCGGGAGGUAAAAAUAAGAAACCAGUGAGACUCCUGGACCCAAACAAAUGGUUCUUACAGGCUUUUAUUUUCCAUUCUGGAGGCUCACCAGCUAGAAGCCCCCGCCUCUUUGAUGACUGCUGUUCUGCCCGUGGGCCCCCCGGGCGUGGGUUUGGGAGUGAAAGAUGCACUCAGCAUUUUGGGUGGGAUGUAAGAUCUGGAUGGAGCAAACUGAAAUGAUAGAACACAUGCCUCGGUGAGAUGGUGCUUCCACUAGAGAUGAUGCACAUUUGUGCCACCCCGACCUCAAAGGGACCAGAAUCUCAGGGCUGGAAGGGCCUUUGGACACAGGCCCUGGAACUCUACGCCGUCUGUGUGUAGGGGAGGACUCGGAGCCCCAAGGGGCCCCUGGCCAGCCGGCACCACACGCUGAGGGUGGUUCAUCAAGCCCUGAGCCCAACGGCCGUGCACUGCUCAGGGCCCUGGAUGCACGUGGAUGCGCCCUGGGAGACUCUCCUCCCGUCUCCCUUUCCCGUCUCUCAUGGCCUCCUCUCCUGAGGCCAGGCUUCCGUCUGAAGGUUCCAGCAGGGUUCUGAAAGCAAACAUAUGAGGGUGGAAGCACUGGGUUACUUGGACACUGACCCAUCCUCUCCAGAGCCUCUAGGGGUCUCACUGGGAACAGGCACCUGGUGGCCUGUUAGCCCAGCCCAGACCUGCACCCAGACCUGCAGAGUCACAGCCGUGGGGGCUCACGUCCGAGCUUCACCCCUGGACUUGUAGCACUUGGACACCCUCACUGUAAAGAGCUCCUCUGGGGAUCCGCAUGUGUGGCGUGGCUACGAACCCCCGUAUAAAGUUCUAUCUAAAAUUUGCAGGCCCUUCUGAUGGUGGGUUGUAGAAAUGAGUCCAGUUGUGGGUUUUGUCUUUGUAUUUUUUCCCUCUAUGUUCUAAAUUUAUUUUUGUCAUGAGAGUUUUACAAAAAUGACAACAGGACGCAAUUUAUUUUCUAUUCCUUUUUUUUAAAAAAAAGAUUUUAUUUAUUCAUGAGAGACACACAGAGAGAGGCAGAGACGUAGGCAGAGGGAGAAGUAGGCUCCCUGCAGGGAGCCCAAUGUGGGACUCGAUCCUAGGACUCCGGGAUCAUGCUCUGAGCCAAAGGCAGAUGCUCAACCACUGAGCCAUGCAGGUGUCCCUUAUUUUCUAUUCCCAUCUGGAAGAAAAAAAGCCGAGACCCUCAUCACAUGGAAACCUGUAUGCGAAGGCUGGUAGAGGAAUCCCGGUCUUUUGCGGCUCCUGGACACGGCCCUGUUCAGGCCUCCCGGGUCCCGGCCACCAGCGCCGGCUCAGACAUUGCCACUCCUGGGGGCUUCCUUAGCAAAUGCCUGGUCCCCUCCCUGCCAGCAAGUGUCACAUCCCACGACACUGAAGGCAAAGGGACUCCUGGUAGCUGACACCACAGCUUUCUCAGCAGGGCCUGCCCAGGCACCUCUGCCUGUUUUGGGCACCUGGUGUGUCCCCAGGCUCACAUGAGCCCUUCUCGUUCCCACCGUCCGUGCUCCCUUUUCUCCAAUGCUUGUCCAACCUGGGCUCAUGUAUGCAUCAUGGCCUCUGGACUGGCACCCCCACGGGUGUGUCGGGGGGAGGGGGCAGGAAGAGCAGCUCUCCCCUCAUGGCUGGUCAGGAUGGGUGCUGCGGUGGGCAGGAGGAGCCUGGAUGGGCUCCUGAUCCAUCCUGGGAUGUGGUGAGAUCGGGGAAGGCCGUUCGGAAGAGGAGACGUCUGAGCUGGGUGUCAGGGGCUCGGCCGGGCACAGAGCGAGGUGGGCAGGCUGCCCUCAGUCCACAGAGCUUCAGCGCCGUUGAGGAAACAGCAGCCAGCUGGGGAAGGAGAGAGGUUUAGGAGAGGAGGUGAGAGAAGGGAGCGGGAGCUGGAGACCGGGCCCCUAGUGGAUCCCCUCAGGACCCCGUGCCCUGUGCAGAGGGUCCCCGUGCCACGCGCCUCCGAUUUGCCUGUGGGCCUGGGGAUAGCUGCGGAGUGGCUGGGGGGCUGUUCAACUCCCCCGGCUCGGAGGCAGUGAGCCCGGGUGGCCUUCCACCCACUACGGGCGUGAGGGACAGGUGGGCUGUUGCCAUGGGCGUCAGGAGGAAACCCCUGGUGGCUCAAACGAGUCUCAAGGGUGGGAUGCCAGCCAGAAGCUGGGGAGGUGUUUGGCACAUGGUUUCUCCAGCUGCCCUGGAAGGUCAUGCGCCCUCCCCACUCUUGACCCUGCUCUAGAGGCCAGUGAUGCUCAGGGGCCGGGCUCCCCCAUCCCGAGGAAUCCCUGUGGCCCUUCGGGGCUGAGCGUGGCAUUCCCGGCGCUGGCUGCGCCCCAGAAGGUGGUGGUGAGAAAACUCGA
This 4252-nucleotide long non-coding RNA is filed under the name Canis lupus familiaris (dog). RNAcentral's name for it is "lncRNA (ENSCAFG00040013857.1)". The record is from RNAcentral. Lineage: Eukaryota; Metazoa; Chordata; Mammalia; Carnivora; Canidae.